UAGUGGCGGACGGGUGAGUAACGCGUGAGUAACCAACCUUACAGACAGGGACAACCCCGGGAAACUGGGGCUAAUACCGGAUACGUUCCUUGGGGGGCUUCCCCUAAGGAAGAAAGGCAGCCUCUGACUUAAGCUGUCGCUGUUUGACGGACUCGCGUCUGAUUAGCUUGUUGGUGGGGUAAUGGCCUACCAAGGCAACGAUCAGUAGCCGGCCUGAGAGGGUGGCCGGCCACACUGGGACUGAGACACGGCCCAGACUCCUACGGGAGGCAGCAGUGGGGAAUAUUGCACAAUGGGGGAAACCCUGAUGCAGCAACGCCGCGUGAGCGAUGAAGGUUUUCGAAUCGUAAAGCUCUGUCCUAAGGGAAGAUAAUGACGGUACCUUAGGAGGAAGCCCCGGCUAACUACGUGCCAGCAGCCGCGGUAACACGUAGGGGGCAAGCGUUAUCCGGAAUUAUUGGGCGUAAAGGGUGCGUAGGCGGCCUUAUGGGUCAGAGGUUAAAUACUAUAGCUUAACUAUAGUCCGCCUUUGAAACUAUAAGGCUUGAGUGCAGGAGAGGAGAGUGGAAUUCCUAGUGUAGCGGUGAAAUGCGUAGAUAUUAGGAGGAAUACCAGUGGCGAAGGCGACUCUCUGGACUGCAACUGACGCUAAGGCACGAAAGCGUGGGUAGCGAACAGGAUUAGAUACCCUGGUAGUCCACGCCAUAAACGAUGAGUGCUAGGUGUUGGGGGUCAAACCUCGGUGCCGCAGUUAACGCAUUAAGCACUCCGCCUGGGGAGUACGUUCGCAAGAAUAAAACUCAAAGGAAUUGACGGGGACCCGCACAAGCAGCGGAGCAUGUGGCUUAAUUCGAAGCAACGCGAAGAACCUUACCUGGAUUUGACAUCCCUCUGACCGUCUCCUAAUCGAGACCUUUCCUUCGGGGACAGAGGAGACAGGUGGUGCAUGGUUGUCGUCAGCUCGUGUCGUGAGAUGUUGGGUUAAGUCCCGCAACGAGCGCAACCCCUAUCCUUAGUUGCCAUCAGUUAAAGCUGGGCACUCUAAAGAGACUGCCGGGGAUAACUCGGAGGAAGGUGGGGAUGACGUCAAAUCAUCAUGCCCCUUAUGUCCUGGGCUACACACGUGCUACAAUGGCCUGUAACAGAGGGAAGCGAAGCCGUAAGGCGGAGCAAAACUCAGAAACCAGGUCCCAGUUCGGAUUGUGGGCUGCAACUCGCCCACAUGAAGUCGGAGUUGCUAGUAAUCGCGAAUCAGCAUGUCGCGGUGAAUACGUUCCCGGGCCUUGUACACACCGCCCGUCACACCAUGGAAGUUGGGGGGACCCGAAGCCGGUGACC
RNAcentral lists this ribosomal RNA (1338 nucleotides) under uncultured prokaryote. RNAcentral's name for it is "bacterial SSU rRNA". It matches the Rfam family "Bacterial small subunit ribosomal RNA", at positions 93 to 1435 of the family's 1533-position model. The record is from RNAcentral.